AGUGGCGGACGGGUGAGUAACGCGUGGGUAACCUGCCCUGUACAGGGGGACAACAGCCGGAACCGGCUGCUAAUACCGCAUAAGCCCGCGGCGCCGCAUGGCGCUGCGGGGAAAACUCCGGUGGUACAGGAUGGGCCCGCGUCUGAUUAGCUAGUUGGCGGGGUAACGGCCCACCAAGGCAGCGAUCAGUAGCCGGCUUGAGAGAGUGGACGGCCACAUUGGGACUGAGACACGGCCCAGACUCCUACGGGAGGCAGCAG
Molecule: ribosomal RNA, 260 nt
Filed under: uncultured bacterium
Lineage: Bacteria
Description: partial 16S ribosomal RNA
Rfam family: Bacterial small subunit ribosomal RNA
Source: RNAcentral